This is a long non-coding RNA of Lotus japonicus, 577 nucleotides long. RefSeq lists it as uncharacterized. The transcript is spliced from 3 exons. NCBI's taxonomy places the organism in Eukaryota, Viridiplantae, Streptophyta, Magnoliopsida, Fabales, Fabaceae. The record is from RefSeq and is a predicted model, not a curated record.
CCUGUACAGAUUUCGUUUCCUCUCCUCUGCUCAAGGGCCUGCAUCCUGUUCAGAAUCACUGAUUUUAAUUAGAUGCAACACUGCUGAAUAGCAGACUGGAGAUUAGAGAAAAAUAAUGAGGGUGCCUUGGCUGAUAUAUUCUUACAAAGCAAUAAUCUUAUAGCUCAAAGAAUACCAUCUUUUGGGCUCAAUUGAUGCAAACUCAUAGCUCAUGCCUCUAGAUCACAGGUAUGGAGACCAAGGUUAUGUAUCUUGUGUUAAUGCAUUACAAGACUUGUCACAUGCAAAUCUGGCACACUGCACAACGUAUUAGAAAAAGGAAGUUUAUUAGAGGGUAAAGAAGGAAAGUUCUAUAAGAGGAGAUAGUAUAGCCUUUUAAAGAGAAAACUUAAAUUUCUCUUAUUUAGUUUGCAGACGGAGAUCAUUGAGCAAGUGGAUUUUCACUCGAGCAGUUCUUCCAUCUGUGUUUGGUGCAUAGUUUGAUAACUAAUAAAAGUUUUGCUUGCUCAAAUUCUCUAAACAUACCUUUAUAUACCCUCUUAAUACUAUGUAUGUCUCAUACUGUUAUUCAGUAGUG